This 1249-nucleotide long non-coding RNA is filed under the name Equus asinus (donkey). RNAcentral's name for it is "lncRNA (ENSEASG00005033422.1)". Lineage: Eukaryota; Metazoa; Chordata; Mammalia; Perissodactyla; Equidae. The record is from RNAcentral.
CCGCCUCCUGGGGAGACCCUGGGGAGCCGCCCUCUCCGCGCCUCCAGGGCCGGGGCCCAAGAAGUGACCCUGCGCAGUGGUGGCCAAAGGUAUCCUGAGGAGUCCAGCUCAUUAGGCCCGCAGCCUGGCAGGGAUGCGCGCAGAGGCCCUGGAGGCGGACGGACCCGGGUGACAACAGCGCGAUCGCCUGUGCCGCGCGGGUUCCGGGGCGCAAGCCGCUCAGGUGCUGCGCGGGCGUUGCGUCCACCACCGGCUCAGACGGAACAAGCGCCCUCGGGGAAAUGGCGACGCGAGGGGAGCCACGAGCUGUGGGCGCUUGUUCAACAAAUUGCGAGGCCGUGCGUUCCUCCCGGAGGAGUCAUAAGUCGAUACCUUGAGCCCCGAGUUUGGCGAAAGCAAACGGUUCUUCCCGGAGCACCCUUGAACAUAAGUCACAUGAACACGCGUCAGUGUUCUUCAGGAGAAAUACCUAGAGGUCACUGCAAAUUGUCCUUCAAUGUCCACUUCCAGGACAAGGCACAAGCUACUUGCCUGCCUACAUUGUGUCACUGACAGAAAAUAUCAAACUUUUAAAGUUUCAGCUAAUCUGACAGGGGAGAAAUGGGUUCUUAUUGUUAUGAUUUGCAUUUCCCAGUCUCUGCAGACACAAAUACCUUUCUGUAUGGAUAACUAUUUUUGUGUUGGUGGCAGCCAGCAUCCAAGAUGCCCCUAUCCCGUCGUCUGCUGCUCACACCCACACUGUACCAGGAUCGGUCUGUGUGACCAACAGCUUACGGCAAAGGGGUGGUGUAUUUCUUCCAGGACUAGGUUAUAAGAGGCUGUGGCUUUGCUCUUGCGGCUCUCUCCCUGUCUCAUCACUUGCUCUGGGGAAGCCAAUUUCAACAUCAUGAGGGAGGGCCUUGUGGCCAGGAACUGAAGCCUCCAGCCAGCGGCCGAGGACCAACUUGGCGUGAGUCUUCUAGACCCGGGCAAGCCUCAUGACUGCAGCUGCUGCCCGUGGUUCAGAUGCAGCCCCCGAGAGACCCUGAGCCAGAACCACCCGCUAAACCGCUCCCACGUUCCUGAUCCUCGGACACUCAGAUAACAGGUGUCUGUUGUUUGAAGCCUCUUGUUAUACAUAUGGCAACAGAUAGUGAAUACGUUGUCUUCUUAUCUGCUUGUGUGUUUUUAGGAGCUUUGUACACCUUUUGGAUAUUAAUAAUUUCUUAUAUAAAAUGAGAAUUUUUCACAAAUGUAUCCUUCACCGUUU